This 704-nucleotide ribosomal RNA is filed under the name halophilic archaeon. Its description in RNAcentral is "bacterial SSU rRNA". It matches the Rfam family "Archaeal small subunit ribosomal RNA", at positions 81 to 784 of the family's 1478-position model. The record is from RNAcentral. Lineage: Archaea; Methanobacteriati; Methanobacteriota; Halobacteria; Halobacteriales.
GCAGAUAGCUCAGUAACACGUGGCCAAACUGCCCUAUAGACGGCGAUAACCUCGGGAAACUGAGGCUAAUAGCCGAUACCGUUCACUACCUGGAGUGGUGUGAACGCGAAACGUUCAGGCGCUAUAGGAUGUGGCUGCGGCCGAUUAGGUAGACGGUGGGGUAACGGCCCACCGUGCCUAUAAUCGGUACGGGUUGUGAGAGCAAGAGCCCGGAGACGGUAUCUGAGACAAGAUACCGGGCCCUACGGGGCGCAGCAGGCGCGAAACCUUUACACUGCACGAGAGUGCGAUAAGGGGACUCCGAGUGCGAGGGCAUAUAGUCCUCGCUUUUCACCACCGUAAGGUGGUGGUGGAAUAAGUGCUGGGCAAGACCGGUGCCAGCCGCCGCGGUAAUACCGGCAGCACGAGUGAUGACCGCUAUUAUUGGGCCUAAAGCGUCCGUAGCUGGCCAGGCAAGUCUAUCGGGAAAUCUGCGCGCUUAACGCGCAGGCGUCCGGUGGAAACUGCGUGGCUUGGGACCGGAAGACCAGAGGGGUACGUCCGGGGUAGGAGUGAAAUCCCGUAAUCCUGGACGGACCACCGGUGGCGAAAGCGCCUCUGGAAGACGGAUCCGACGGUGAGGGACGAAAGCUCGGGUCACGAACCGGAUUAGAUACCCGGGUAGUCCGAGCUGUAAACGAUGUCUGCUAGGUGUGGCACAGGCU